Molecule: ribosomal RNA, 446 nt
Filed under: uncultured bacterium
Lineage: Bacteria
Description: bacterial SSU rRNA
Rfam family: Bacterial small subunit ribosomal RNA
Source: RNAcentral
GCCAGACUCCUACGGGAGGCAGCAGUGGGGAAUAUUGCACAAUGGGGGAAACCCUGAUGCAGCGACGCCGCGUGAGUGAAGAAGUAUUUCGGUAUGUAAAGCUCUAUCAGCAGGGAAGAAAAUGACGGUACCUGAUUAAGAAGCCCCGGCUAACUACGUGCCAGCAGCCGCGGUAAUACGUAGGGGGCAAGCGUUAUCCGGAUUUACUGGGUGUAAAGGGAGCGUAGACGGCAGCGCAAGUCUGGAGUGAAAGGCCGGGGCCCAACCCCGGGACUGCUCUGGAAACUAUUGAACUUGAGUGCAGGAGAGGUAAGCGGAAUUCCUAGUGUAGCGGUGAAAUGCGUAGAUAUUAGGAGGAACACCGGUGGCGAAGGCGGCUUACUGGACCGUAACUGACGUUGAGACUCGAAAGCGUGGGGAGCAAACAGGAUUAGAUACCCGAGUAA